RNAcentral lists this ribosomal RNA (626 nucleotides) under Salmonella enterica subsp. enterica serovar Infantis. RNAcentral's name for it is "partial 23S ribosomal RNA". It matches the Rfam family "Bacterial large subunit ribosomal RNA", at positions 711 to 1252 of the family's 2925-position model. RNAcentral also lists the same sequence under 3 other names. The record is from RNAcentral. Lineage: Bacteria; Pseudomonadati; Pseudomonadota; Gammaproteobacteria; Enterobacterales; Enterobacteriaceae.
AGACCCGAAACCCGGUGAUCUAGCCAUGGGCAGGUUGAAGGUUGGGUAACACUAACUGGAGGACCGAACCGACUAAUGUUGAAAAAUUAGCGGAUGACCUGUGGCUGGGGGUGAAAGGCCAAUCAAACCGGGAGAUAGCUGGUUCUCCCCGAAAGCUAUUUAGGUAGCGCCUCGUGAAUUCAUCUCCGGGGGUAGAGCACUGUUUCGGCUAGGGGGCCAUCCCGGCUUACCAACCCGAUGCAAACUGCGAAUACCGGAGAAUGUUAUCACGGGAGACACACGGCGGGUGCUAACGUCCGUCGUGAAGAGGGAAACAACCCAGACCGCCAGCUAAGGUCCCAAAGUCAUGGUUAAGUGGGAAACGAUGUGGGAAGGCCCAGACAGCCAGGAUGUUGGCUUAGAAGCAGCCAUCAUUUAAAGAAAGCGUAAUAGCUCACUGGUCGAGUCGGCCUGCGCGGAAGAUGUAACGGGGCUAAACCAUGCACCGAAGCUGCGGCAGCGAACGUAUCACUUAAAGCGAUUCAGCGGGUUACGAUUGACGGAGCGAAGCGACGUCAAAGCGUAUACAAAGUCGAGUCGGUUUAAGGAUACGUUCGUUGGGUAGGGGAGCGUUCUGUAAGCCUGUG